GAUGAUGAUGAUGAUGCAAAGUCAUCGCUUUCGGUAGAUAAAUUAUUGGUGAAUGAAUCAUCGAAAGAGGAGGAGCAAGGAAAGGAAACCUUAAUAUCCGCAUGGUCGCUAUUCUUAGACGGAGGCAUUAUUCUCGAAGUUGGCGUUACACUGGACGAGUACUUUUUCGAUUCCAUCGUGCAAAUAUCAUGUCCUCCGCAUUAUGAAGACCAGUAUUUACAAUUUGAGAGUUGCGAAUGGAAAGAAAUAUUCAAUUUUAAAACGGAACACUUAAUUAAACAUAUGGUGCAGUGUACGCCUAAAAGAAGGAGCAAGCAUGAAAUUUUUACCCAGUCCAAAAUAAUAAUACUUGAAGCGGAAGAAGAAGAAGGCGUUAGAUGUAUUCGAAUAAGCGAAUCAGAUAAAUCUAUACUAUUUUCCAAGCAAGCAGUCGAUAUGAUAUUUAACGCUUCCGAAGUGAUUACUCAAAAACUGAAUGUCGUCAAUCACUAUGCGAUGUAUUGUCUUUAUGAUGACUUUACGCGUGAGUUGGCAAAAAUUCUACAUACCGAAGGUGUUACUAGCGAAGAGAGCAUUUUAUCCAGAGCGAAAAUCAUAUGCCAAAAUCUCAAAUUCUUAACAUCGCUAUGCAGUUGGAAGGAAAAGUAUGAUAAUUUGGAAGAUAAGCUCAUUUCCUUUCUAGUUAGCAAUAUGAAUAAUUAUUUUUCGCACACGA
This is a long non-coding RNA of Photinus pyralis (common eastern firefly), 715 nucleotides long. RefSeq lists it as uncharacterized. The record is from RefSeq and is a predicted model, not a curated record. The transcript has 2 exons. NCBI's taxonomy places the organism in Eukaryota, Metazoa, Arthropoda, Insecta, Coleoptera, Lampyridae.